AUGCAUGGCCGGCCUGAGCGCCUCCAGCAGCUCCACCGUCCUGUCACCGCCCCCGUCAGUCACAUCCACUCGGAGCGGAGCGGGAUGCGGGGGUCCGCACUCCUGCUCCGUCAGCUUGACCUGCUUUAAAACGCCACCAUCAUCACACCGAAAGAGCCCGUUACUGCUGAGCUCUGGCUUCCCAUUCACGGCACUAACCCCCCCACCACCCCCCCAACCCCUGAAAGCGCCACUCACUGCAGCCUGAUAACAGCAGGUGUCUGGGUGGCAUUCAAGCAGCUGCCUGUGGUCUGCGUUCAUGCAGAAUAGCUCGGUCCCGGCGUCCUCUCUGCUCCAUUUUCUCAUUCUUCUCCCUACUCCCCCUUUCACAGAUCCACUCAUUUACCCUCUUCCCUGUCCACCUGCCUGGGAAAUCUUUAUUAAAUCCUCCUUCAAACGCUCGUGAGCACUGACUUCCCUUGACAAAGUCACUUCAGCCUGUAUAGUCUUCAGCUGAGUGCCUUUCAGCACCAUUUAACCGCACGCUGAGAUGGGACUAAUAUUUACAGCAGUCAGCGAGUUUAUUAUGGAUGAUAUUGCUUUGGAAGCUGCUGUUUCCAUAGAAUUUCUUUAACAUCACAUCUCUUGAGAUAGCUUCUAUAAGGCAAGGUGCGAGAGUGGCCGACUCCUUCCACGUCCCCACGGAGCCCGAAAGGAGCCGCCGAACCCGCCGAAGUUCACGGGCUGGAUUAAAACUCGCUGUCUUCUCGCCGGCACCCCAGAGUACAAUGCAUAUGCGAAGAAGUUCUCCCUCCGCUGAAAUUAUGUGACCGGAAUGCGAGAGCGCCGGCUGACCCAGUUUCUCUAUUAUCACGAAAUGUUGAACAUGCAAAAAAAUGGGAAGAUGAGCCUUAAAAUGAGAAGACCCAGAAUAUCCUUGAGGCAUGUGGCUGGAAUGAAAUCUACCCAACCCAGGCAAUCUGCUUGCCGGGGAAGAAGACAUUUAACUCUUUCUGAUAUAUUCAUGCUCCACUCGAGCACAGAGCACCUGCCUUCAUCUCGUCGCUGCCUUCACUUGCUUCUUGGCUUCCUGUGCGGAUGGCUGCUGUCCCACGGGCCCUCUGGCACUGCAGGUAAUGGAAUCGUGAGCGUCAUCAGCUUUGACCAGGUGGACGCUCUCAUGUGGAUCAGCUGAUAAGGCGACGUCAGAUAGGUGAAGCUCUGAUGCCGUCAAAAAGGAAUGGUAUAUAUUUUUUUAACACAUCUCAGGCAGCUGCCAGCUUUUUAAUUUCAGACAGUCGGUUCUCAUCGCCUGCAGUGCAAUUACACAAUGAUUUAAUAGUGCAAUUAAAAUACUGUCAAGGGUUUUCACUCGUGUUUGCAUUUGAAUUCCAUUGUUGGCAGCCUAAAAGGCAGUCGUACGCAUUUGGGCCGAGAUUGUGCUGUCACACAGCUGGCGAAGCUGGCAUUACAUCAAAAUGAUGAAUCAAGCGCUCCCUCAGAACCUCGUAAAACGGUGGCUGCGGAGCGAGUGCGGCAGCUCAGCAGGCCGCUCGGCUCUGGUGCUGCUGAGGUGCGACCCGGUGCACAGGAGCCGAGUCGGAACCACGCCGCACGUCGAAUACCGCCCAAAAAAGGACCAGAGGAAACGAGUAUGUUUAACAAGCAAAGCUGCAAAUAUCAGCAGGUAAGUUAAGACCAUCGAACUGGCCUUUUGAAUGGAUCACACGAAGGUCCAAGAUGUUCCACCAUUAGAAACUUAAACGUUUAAUGUUUUAAUACAAGUGAUUUAAAAUCCAGCUGGAUAGUGGAUUUCAACCACAUAAACCUAAAAAAAAAAAACUUUUGUCUGCCUGGUCUGUUACUUUAAGUAUUUUUUGUGUGAGUGAAAUUUGCUUUGUUGGAAUUAUUACGCACACAUUAGCCCCAAAUCCGACGUUAUUACAGACUUAAUGGACAGAGAUUAUGUUGUCAGAGCGGGAAGGAGGCGGAUCAGGACGCUGCCUGCGCGUCCCGGCGCCCGCAUACGCGCGACUGUGCUCCGCUUCCUGUGGAUCCAGCUGUAGGUUCCGCCGUGCAUCCGCGCUCCUCUCGCUUACGUUGCUCCUUUCACCGCAGAUGGUGCCAACUGCAACGGUUUGACUCAUGUUUCAUAAAGCCAGGCCAAUUUUUGAAAACACAUUCUUUGACGCACUCGCUGUGAAUGAGUUAGAUGAAAGCGUUUGGGAGGCUAAUUCACUUUGCAUCAUAGAAACUCAGGGUCCAAUUUGCGACAGGGAGCACUGAUGGGAGCCUUAGGUUUCCUUGCCGCAGUAGGAGGCUGGUAUCAUGAUUAAUUUAGGCUUGUUUUGUCAGUGCAGGAAGCCACAAAAAAGCUCAUUACAAUCAGCUGGGUUUUGUCACAGUCCUGGCUCCCUGUAAUCUCCCAUAGAGAAGCAGAGCGAUAGAGCCCCUCUCAAUAUGCAUUGAUGAUGAUUGCAUGAUUUAUGCAUGAGCGUCAUGGCACCUUAAGACGAUCCCGCCCAACACAAGUCCUUGAAAUUCUGAAAUUAGAGCUUUUGUGCCUCUGCUCCAAACGUGUUUGUUUUAGGCACUCGACUGCAUCGCUCGCGGGGCCAUUCUGGAAUGUGUCGGAACACAACUGAAUAAGUGUUUAGCGUGGAGGGAUCAGAUGACAGUAGUGCGUUUGUUGGGAUAUUUACCAAAUGCUUGUACAAAGUCACCAGGAAGCAUGUUGCGAUGCCGUCACGCUUCCUUUCAGGCGACUCUCAAUAGUUGCAUGCGUCUGUUUGACUUUGGGCCUCUUAAGUGCUGCAUUGAAGCCGUCGUAAUUGCCCGGCUCGUGUUAAGGCAGUGAUUGAUGCUUGGGCGAGAGUCACGGGAGCGAUGGGCGCGUUGACCUUUCUGUGAGCUCCUUUAAUGCGGCCGUUGACCCUUCGAUAGACGCACACAGCUGCUGCUGCAUCGUGCCCCAGAGGUUUCCUCUGAUAAACGAUGCUGAUGAUGAUGAUGAUGAUGAUGAUGAUGAUGAUGAUGAUGAUGAUGAUGAUGAUGCACUGUUUCGCUGACUCCUUCCAACAGGUUGUCUCAACAGUGGCUGACUUUUAAAUACAACCGUCUUCUGGUGCUUGCAGUGCUGGGUCUUUGUAAACAUGCCCCUAAAUGCAUGAGACACAUAAACGUCAGCCUGAUAAUAUAAACCAGCCUGAAAAAAUAAACACAAUGUUGUGAUGUAAUAUAAUGAUUAA
Long non-coding RNA from Betta splendens (Siamese fighting fish), 3227 nucleotides. The record is from Ensembl. Lineage: Eukaryota; Metazoa; Chordata; Actinopteri; Anabantiformes; Osphronemidae.